Molecule: ribosomal RNA, 964 nt
Filed under: uncultured soil bacterium
Lineage: Bacteria
Description: SSU rRNA
Rfam family: Bacterial small subunit ribosomal RNA
Source: RNAcentral
UUUUCUACUGGUGUACAGAUCGCCUUAGAGUUUGAUCCUGGCUCAGAAUCAACGCUGGCGGCGUGCCUAACACAUGCAAGUCGAACGAGAAAGCUGGGGCAACCCGGCCGGUACAGUGGCAGACGGGUGAGUAACACGUGAACAAUCUACCCUCGAGUGGGGAAUAACGCCGCGAAAGCGGCGCUAAUACCGCAUAACGUUCCGGGAUCGCAUGGUUCUGGAACCAAAGGCGAAAGUCGCUUGAGGAGGAGUUCGCGCCUGAUUAGCUAGUUGGUGAGGUAACGGCCCACCAAGGCAACGAUCAGUAGCCGGCCUGAGAGGGCGUACGGCCACACUGGAACUGGGACACGGUCCAGACUCCUACGGGAGGCAGCAGUGGGGAAUUUUGCGCAAUGGGCGAAAGCCUGACGCAGCAACGCCGCGUGGAGGAUGAAGGCUUUCGGGUCGUAAACUCCUGUCAGGGGGGACGAAACCGGGCAACCGGCUGACUGUACCCCCGGAGGAAGCCACGGCUAACUCCGUGCCAGCAGCCGCGGUAAUACGGAGGUGGCAAGCGUUGUUCGGAAUUACUGGGCGUAAAGGGCGCGUAGGCGGCUCGGCAAGUCAGGUGUGAAAGCCCCGGGCUUAACUCGGGAAUUGCAUCUGAAACUGCUUUGCUUGAGUCCUGGAGGGGGUAGUGGAAUUCCCAGUGUAGCGGUGAAAUGCGUAGAUAUCGGAAGGAACACCUGUGGCGAAAGCGGCUCACUGGACCACAACUGACGCUGAUGCACGAAAGCUAGGGGAGCAAACAGGAUUAGAUACCCUGGUAGUCUAGCCCUAAACGAUGACUGCUGGUGUGACGGGUACCAUCCCGCGUGACGUAGCUAACGCGUAGCAGUCGCUGGGAGUACGUCGCUAGCUGAACUCGACGGAUGGACGGGUCCGCCAGCGGUGGAGCAUGUGGUUAUUCGACCCCACGCGAAGA